UAGUCCACGCCGUAAACGAUGGUCACUAGCUGUUCGGACUUCGGUCUGAGUGGCUAAGCGAAAGUGAUAAGUGACCCACCUGGGGAGUACGUUCGCAAGAAUGAAACUCAAAGGAAUUGACGGGGGCCCGCACAAGCGGUGGAGCAUGUGGUUUAAUUCGAUGAUACGCGAGGAACCUUACCAGGGCUUAAAUGUACAUUGCAUAGCGUAGAGAUAUGCUUUUCUUCGGACUAUGUACAAGGUGCUGCAUGGUUGUCGUUAGCUCGUGCCGUGAGGUGUCAGGUUAAGUCCUAUAACGAGCGCAACCCCUACCGUUAGUUGCCAGCAUGUAAUGAUGGGGACUCUAACGGGACUGCCGGUGCAAACCGUGAGGAAGGUGGGGACGACGUCAAAUCAUCACGGCCCUUACGUCCUGGGCCACACACGUGCUACAAUGGCCGGUACAGAGGGAAGCCACCACGUAAGUGGGCGCGGAUCUAUAAAACCGGUCACAGUUCGGAUUGCAGGCUGAAACUCG
RNAcentral lists this ribosomal RNA (517 nucleotides) under uncultured bacterium. Its description in RNAcentral is "bacterial SSU rRNA". It matches the Rfam family "Bacterial small subunit ribosomal RNA", at positions 791 to 1314 of the family's 1533-position model. The record is from RNAcentral.